GAGCUUGCUCCUGGAUUCAGCGGCGGACGGGUGAGUAAUGCCUAGGAAUCUGCCUGGUAGUGGGGGACAACGUUUCGAAAGGAACGCUAAUACCGCAUACGUCCUACGGGAGAAAGCAGGGGACCUUCGGGCCUUGCGCUAUCAGAUGAGCCUAGGUCGGAUUAGCUAGUUGGUGAGGUAAUGGCUCACCAAGGCGACGAUCCGUAACUGGUCUGAGAGGAUGAUCAGUCACACUGGAACUGAGACACGGUCCAGACUCCUACGGGAGGCAGCAGUGGGGAAUAUUGGACAAUGGGCGAAAGCCUGAUCCAGCCAUGCCGCGUGUGUGAAGAAGGUCUUCGGAUUGUAAAGCACUUUAAGUUGGGAGGAAGGGUUGUAGAUUAAUACUCUGCAAUUUUGACGUUACCGACAGAAUAAGCACCGGCUAACUCUGUGCCAGCAGCCGCGGUAAUACAGAGGGUGCAAGCGUUAAUCGGAAUUACUGGGCGUAAAGCGCGCGUAGGUGGUUUGUUAAGUUGGAUGUGAAAUCCCCGGGCUCAACCUGGGAACUGCAUCCAAAACUGGCAAGCUAGAGUAUGGUAGAGGGUGGUGGAAUUUCCUGUGUAUCGGUGAAA
Molecule: ribosomal RNA, 614 nt
Filed under: Pseudomonas koreensis
Lineage: Bacteria; Pseudomonadati; Pseudomonadota; Gammaproteobacteria; Pseudomonadales; Pseudomonadaceae
Description: bacterial SSU rRNA
Rfam family: Bacterial small subunit ribosomal RNA
Source: RNAcentral